Molecule: transfer RNA, 72 nt
Filed under: Streptomyces mutabilis
Lineage: Bacteria; Bacillati; Actinomycetota; Actinomycetes; Kitasatosporales; Streptomycetaceae
Source: RNAcentral
GCCACGGGUACACGGGGCUCGGAGCGGGUGGGUCGAUGGCCGGCCGCGCCGGCUCCUCGGCCGGCUCGGGCC